This 96-nucleotide ribosomal RNA is filed under the name uncultured Parvibaculum sp. RNAcentral's name for it is "partial 16S ribosomal RNA". It matches the Rfam family "Bacterial small subunit ribosomal RNA", at positions 8 to 113 of the family's 1533-position model. Lineage: Bacteria; Pseudomonadati; Pseudomonadota; Alphaproteobacteria; Hyphomicrobiales; Parvibaculaceae. The record is from RNAcentral.
AGAGUUUAUCCUGGCUCAGAACGAACGCUGGCGGAAGGCUUAAUACAUGCAAGUCGAACGGAUGUAGCAAUACAGCAGUGGCAGACGGGUGAGUAA